RNAcentral lists this ribosomal RNA (253 nucleotides) under uncultured bacterium. RNAcentral describes it as "partial 16S ribosomal RNA". It matches the Rfam family "Bacterial small subunit ribosomal RNA", at positions 524 to 776 of the family's 1533-position model. The record is from RNAcentral.
UACGAAGGGGGCUAGCGUUGUUCGGAAUUACUGGGCGUAAAGCGCGUGUAGGCGGGUCUUUAAGUCAGGGGGGAAAUGCCAAGGCUCAACCUUGGAACUGCCUUUGAUACUGAAGAUCUUGAGUUCGGGAGAGGUGAGUGGAACUGCGAGUGUAGAGGUGAAAUUCGUAGAUAUUCGCAAGAACACCAGUGGCGAAGGCGGCUCACUGGCCCGAUACUGACGCUGAGGCACGAAAGCGUGGGGAGCAAACAGG